Brassica oleracea var. oleracea is the source of this 601-nucleotide long non-coding RNA. RefSeq lists it as uncharacterized. The transcript is spliced from 2 exons. NCBI's taxonomy places the organism in Eukaryota, Viridiplantae, Streptophyta, Magnoliopsida, Brassicales, Brassicaceae. The record is from RefSeq and is a predicted model, not a curated record.
UUCAUUCCUCACAGUACCCAUUCAUUAGAAAGUUAAACACAUCUUUGAUCCAGAAAAAGAAAGAAAGUAAACACAUCAUGGGCUUCAAGUCUUUUGCUUCUAGCAUUGUCAAGUUUAUCGUUGCCGUUGCUGUUACCGUUCUUUUAAUAGAAGCACAACCAGUGGCGAUGCCAAGAGGUUAUGCAAACUAUAACGCGGGCGGGAAUCCGGGAGGUUAUGCAAACUAUAACACGGGCGGGAAUCCCCGAGGUUAUGCAAACAAUAACGCGGGCAGGAACCGUGAUCCGCGGGCACGACGGGGAUCUUGCAACAUAUGUGGCAACCCUCCUCAGAUAUGUAUCUGCGUCUCCAUAUGAUUAUAACCAAAAUUUCUGGUGCUUGUGAGUUUAUUUGUCUUUUCUCUUCUGCUUAUUUAUAUUAAAUAAGUUUUGUCACUUCUCGUGAGUGUAAGCUUAUGGCAUGUAAACUUUUAUGUGCGACCUAUUCCGAGCAGUGUGUGUUUGGCAUGCUGAAAAUAUUAAAAAAUGUGUCUAAAUGGAAUCGUGGGCAUCACAUAUGAGGCUAUAAUUUGGAGUCCCAACUAUAUACGUUCAACGUGUAA